This is a long non-coding RNA of Lampris incognitus (smalleye Pacific opah), 448 nucleotides long. RefSeq lists it as uncharacterized. The transcript is spliced from 3 exons. The record is from RefSeq and is a predicted model, not a curated record. Lineage: Eukaryota; Metazoa; Chordata; Actinopteri; Lampriformes; Lampridae.
AUGUCUUUUUGAUUGUGGGGGAAACCAGAGCAUCCGGAGAAAACCCAGCAGAGAUAUGGGGAGAACAUGCAAAUUCCACAGAGAGGAGGACCUGGGAUGACCAGGUUGGACAACCCCGGGGAUCGAACCCAGGACCUUCUUACUGUGAGACCCAUUCCUGUUACUGGCCCCGCCCCUUACCUGGGACCUGUAACAUUUCUUGGCGCCGAACGUGGGGCGAGCAUCUGAUGACCGGGGAUGCUCGUCCGUGCAACAGAACCCAAGUGACCAGACCGGCUGAUGAUCACCUCAAAGACGUCUAGGACUGUGGACUGUGAAAGAUGGCCGACACUGACAAGGUAGCCGUAGGUGACGACGAAAGAAAGAGACUGAUUUGGCAGAUAAAGAAAGGACUUCACAAGCUGACCGAUGAGACUCUCGUGAGACAGGUGAACAAGAUAUGCAGCGA